Long non-coding RNA from Pollicipes pollicipes, 326 nucleotides. RefSeq lists it as uncharacterized. NCBI's taxonomy places the organism in Eukaryota, Metazoa, Arthropoda, Thecostraca, Pollicipedomorpha, Pollicipedidae. The transcript has 4 exons. The record is from RefSeq and is a predicted model, not a curated record.
AAAGAGGCAUCCAUUUGGUGACAGAUGAAAUUUUGAGGCAUUUGCCAGAGAUUAAAAAGUUUUCAGUAGGGCUAUGUCACGUUCAGAUACUACACACAUCAGCAAGUUUGUCAUUGAAUGAAAAUUGGGAUCCAAAUGUUCGCGUGGAUAUGGAGACCAUGCUUAACAAAAUAGUGCCUGAGAACCUCCCAUACAAGCACUGCGCCGAAGGUCCUGACGAUAUGGGCAUCUGGCUGUGUGAGCACCGGGACGAGGCGGGCGCGCGCAAGCUGGUGGUGACGCUGAACGGCUGCCCGCGCGACGGACCCACGCCCAACUCGCCGCUC